RNAcentral lists this long non-coding RNA (955 nucleotides) under Fragaria vesca (wild strawberry). Its description in RNAcentral is "long non-coding RNA (FVES_LNC000403)". The record is from RNAcentral. Lineage: Eukaryota; Viridiplantae; Streptophyta; Magnoliopsida; Rosales; Rosaceae.
CGCAACGAGGUAGGUUAUAGAUUUGAUCAUUAGAGGACGAGAGUGACAAUGAGAACUAAUGACCAAUAUUGCAGUUAACCUUUGCUAGCUAUAGCGGUAUAAAACGUAACUAAUAAGGAAAUAAUAUUGAUCAAGUUGAAGGCUAGGAAAUAAUAUAUGUUCUGCAUUAGCAUGCCAAGAGCAAAAGGGAGAGCAGAAAAUUGAAAAGAAAAAUUACCAGCUCGAAUGGAUCUCUUUUCAAGUGGAAACCAUGCAUGCUUUUCAUGAAGUGCUUGUGCUCGAUCAGCCAUUGAUGCAGCUAAAAAAAACAAUUGAAAGAGUGUGAAUCAACAAUCCCGGCCCCUUCAACUAUUGGGUGUGAAGCAUGCUGUUCUAGACUUCUAGUUGCAUCAUACCGAUACAACACAAUAGAAGUUUAUUACUAUGACAAACUGACAACAUUGUAAGGUAAAAGUCGCAAGACUAGUGUUAUUACAACUUCACCAAAACUGAUCAUCAGUAAUUAAAAAAACAAAAAAAAAACCAGUUUAUUGCCAUGCAAGCUCUGAUAGAGAUCGACGACCGGCGACGACGUCCGUCGAGCUUCAUUCGACUCUCAUACAAUUGUCGUCUAAUUGUCGACUGAUUAACUGUUCCGAUUGCUUCUCUCCCUUAAUGAAUCAAAGCCGGUCCAGAAGCAACAGCAACAACUGCGUACGUAUAAGAUUUACAUAUAAGAUUGAAGUAGCUAGCUACUUAUUAUAUGAUGGACUUGGAAUAACUAUGAACUAAUACCCCGUGAAUUCACAAUAGGAAAAGAAGUUACUCACCAUGCAAAGAGAACGGCUCCAACAAUAGCCACGAUGACUUCUAGGACGCAGCUAGUCAUAUCUGAUUUUUGAUAAGCAAUGUCUCCCUCUAAUAAUCCUCUAAUAAUGUACACAAUGCAUUAUGGGUUUCUGCUCCUGAUCGAAUG